CUUGGUGUGUGUUUGCAUGUUGGAUCCCUGUUUAGGCAGCGAAGGCAUGUUUUACACACCUUUUCAGUUGUUGGCUCAACUGUAGCUUGGUCUGCUUGGGUUUCUUGUGUUGCAUACCUCUAAAAAGGUACUUGGUCGGUCAAAAUGUCCCACAUUCUUACAUGCACUAUACCCUUUGGGGUUGUUGUGUGUGUAGACCAUGAAGCAUCCAUAGUGUUCCACUUCUCAAGCGCCUUGCCCGUGUUGUGGGUUGUUGGCACAUUAUGGAUUGCUUGAUCACUCGGAUAUGGAAUAUUGAGUGGGUAUGAGGCAUCUUUGCUUCUAUUUGCCCCAAAAUUAAGCGUUCGACGCUUGUUGCGGACGACUGUUGUUGCUGUAUUGAUUUGGCCUUUGAGGUUUGAAUCAUGCGCUAGCAACGUCGCUGAGGAA
Molecule: unclassified non-coding RNA, 429 nt
Filed under: Elacholoma prostrata
Lineage: Eukaryota; Viridiplantae; Streptophyta; Magnoliopsida; Lamiales; Phrymaceae
Description: partial external transcribed spacer
Source: RNAcentral